GUGGGUAUAGCGUAGUUGGUUAUCGCGCCAGAUUGUGGUUCUGGAGAUCAUGGAUUCGAAUUCCAUUACCCACCCUA
Molecule: transfer RNA, 77 nt
Filed under: Oribacterium sp.
Lineage: Bacteria; Bacillati; Bacillota; Clostridia; Lachnospirales; Lachnospiraceae
Description: tRNA-His
Rfam family: tRNA
About the family: Transfer RNA (tRNA) molecules are approximately 80 nucleotides in length. Their secondary structure includes four short double-helical elements and three loops (D, anti-codon, and T loops).
Source: RNAcentral